This 292-nucleotide ribosomal RNA is filed under the name uncultured bacterium. RNAcentral describes it as "partial 16S ribosomal RNA". It matches the Rfam family "Bacterial small subunit ribosomal RNA", at positions 505 to 796 of the family's 1533-position model. The record is from RNAcentral.
GUGUCAGCCGCCGCGGUAAUACGAAGGGGACUAGCGUUGUUCGGAAUUACUGGGCGUAAAGCGCACGUAGGCGGAUUUGUUAGUCAGGGGUGAAAUCCCGGGGCUCAACCUCGGAACUGCCUUUGAUACUGCAAGUCUCGAGUCCGAUAGAGGUGGGUGGAAUUCCUAGUGUAGAGGUGAAAUUCGUAGAUAUUAGGAAGAACACCGGUGGCGAAGGCGGCCCACUGGAUCGGUACUGACGCUGAGGUGCGAAAGCGUGGGGAGCAAACAGGAUUAGAUACCCCUGUAGUCC